AGUCUCGGGCAGAGGAACGCAGGCAGCGCCAACAACUGUCAUGCCAGGGAUGAAUGCCGGGACGAGCACAAAGGCUGCUGUUGGCAGAUCUGCGCGAAGGCGCCACAUCGCAGCGAUGGUACUGUUCUCAGCUGUGCUGCUGUCUGCGCUGGUGCUGGCCUGUGGUGCUGUGAUAUGGAUGUGCCAAAAAUACGUAGUGUGCAAGAGAGAAGAGAGAGCAGCAGAGCAGGCUCAUCCUGAUA
Long non-coding RNA from Gallus gallus (chicken), 242 nucleotides. RefSeq lists it as uncharacterized. Lineage: Eukaryota; Metazoa; Chordata; Aves; Galliformes; Phasianidae. The record is from RefSeq and is a predicted model, not a curated record. The transcript has 3 exons.